This 538-nucleotide ribosomal RNA is filed under the name Aparapotamon grahami. RNAcentral describes it as "partial large subunit ribosomal RNA". It matches the Rfam family "Bacterial large subunit ribosomal RNA", at positions 1831 to 2624 of the family's 2925-position model. The record is from RNAcentral. Lineage: Eukaryota; Metazoa; Arthropoda; Malacostraca; Decapoda; Potamidae.
GUCUGUUUGGAGUUAUAAAGAGUCUAGCCUGCCCACUGAUUAAUAUUUAAGGGCCGCAGUAUUAUAACUGUGCAAAGGUAGCAUAAUCAUUAGGUUUUUAAUUGGAAUCUUGAAUGAAUGGUUGGACAAAAGAAGUACUGUCUUUAUGUUAAAUUUUGAAUUUAACUUUUAAGUGAAAAGGCUUAAAUAUUCUAAAGGGACGAUAAGACCCUAUAAAACUUUACAUUAAGAUUAAAUUUAGUUAAAUUUAAUUAUAAAGAUUUAAUUUAAUUAUUUGUUGUAUUGGGGAGAUAUAGGUAAACCUUUUAUUAACUGCUUACUGAUCAAACAUUUACUAAUGAAAGUAAUGGAUCCUUGUUAAAGAUUGUUGAAUUAAGUUACUUUAGGGAUAACAGCGUUAUUUUUUUUGAGAGUUCAUAUCGAAAAAAAAGAUUGCGACCUCGAUGUUGAAUUAAAAUAUCUGUAUAAUGGAGCGGUUAUACAAGAGGGUCUGUUCGACCUUUAAAAUUUUACAUGAUUUGAGUUCAAACCGGCGUGA